This 289-nucleotide ribosomal RNA is filed under the name uncultured bacterium. RNAcentral describes it as "partial 16S ribosomal RNA". It matches the Rfam family "Bacterial small subunit ribosomal RNA", at positions 773 to 1060 of the family's 1533-position model. The record is from RNAcentral.
GUGGAUUAGAUACCCUGGUAGUCCACACUGUAAACGAUGAAUGCUAGGUGUGGGGACGUAAGUUUCCGUGCCGCAGUUAACACAAUAAGCAUUCCACCUGGGGAGUACGGCCGCAAGGUUGAAACUCAAAGGAAUUGACGGGAGCCCGCACAAGCAGUGGAGUAUGUGGUUUAAUUCGACGCAACGCGAAGAACCUUACCAGGACUUGACAUCCCUUGACUACCUCGUAAUGGAGGGUCUCGAUCUUCGGAUUGACAAGGAGACAGGUGGUGCACGGUUGUCGACAGCU